RNAcentral lists this ribosomal RNA (265 nucleotides) under uncultured Pseudacidovorax sp. RNAcentral describes it as "partial 16S ribosomal RNA". It matches the Rfam family "Bacterial small subunit ribosomal RNA", at positions 71 to 356 of the family's 1533-position model. The record is from RNAcentral. Lineage: Bacteria; Pseudomonadati; Pseudomonadota; Betaproteobacteria; Burkholderiales; Comamonadaceae.
GGUAUGGACUAGUUUCAUUGAGAUAGUGGCAAACGGGUGAGUAACGCGUGGGAAUGUACCUUCAGAUUGGGAUAACGUUGGAAACGAGCGCUAAUACCAAUACACCGGAGACGGGAAAGGAAAUUUGCUGAGGGAGCGGCCCGCGUUAGAUUAGGUAGUUGGUGGGGUAAAGGCCUACCAGCCGAUGAUCUAUAGCUGGUCUGAGAGGACGACCAGCCACACUGGGACUGAGACACGGCCCAGACUCCUACGGGAGGCAGCAGCG